This 395-nucleotide ribosomal RNA is filed under the name uncultured bacterium. Its description in RNAcentral is "bacterial SSU rRNA". It matches the Rfam family "Bacterial small subunit ribosomal RNA", at positions 521 to 916 of the family's 1533-position model. The record is from RNAcentral.
UAAUACGUAGGGUGCAAGCGUUAAUCGGAAUUACUGGGCGUAAAGGGUGCGCAGGCGGUUUUGUAAGUCAGAUGUGAAAUCCCCGGGCUUAACCUGGGAACUGCGUUUGAAACUACAAGACUAGAGUGUGGCAGAGGGGGGUGGAAUUCCAUGUGUAGCAGUGAAAUGCGUAGAGAUAUGGAAGAACAUCGAUGGCGAAGGCAACCCCCUGGGUUAACACUGACGCUCAGGCACGAAAGCGUGGGGAGCAAACAGGAUUAGAUACCCUGGUAGUCCACGCCCUAAACUAUGUCAACUAGUUGUCGGGCCUUAAUAGGCUUGGUAACGCAGCUAACGCGUGAAGUUGACCGCCUGGGGAGUACGGUCGCAAGAUUAAAACUUAAAUGAAUUGACGG